Molecule: ribosomal RNA, 307 nt
Filed under: uncultured Lactobacillus sp.
Lineage: Bacteria; Bacillati; Bacillota; Bacilli; Lactobacillales; Lactobacillaceae
Description: bacterial SSU rRNA
Rfam family: Bacterial small subunit ribosomal RNA
Source: RNAcentral
ACCUGCGAUGCAUUAGCUAGUUGGUAAGGUAACGGCUUACCAAGGCGAUGAUGCAUAGCCCGAGUUGAGAGACUGAUCGGCCACAUUGGGGACUGAGACACGGCCCAAAAACUCCUACGGGAGGCAGCAGUAGGGAAUCUUCCACAAUGGACGAAAGUCUGAUGGAGCAACGCCGCGUGAGUGAAGAAGGUUUUCGGAUCGUAAAAGCUCUGUUGUUGGUGAAGAAGGAUAGAGGUAGUAACUGGCCUUUAUUUGACGGUAAUCAACAGAAAGUCACGGCUAACUACGUGCCAGCAGCCGCGGUAAU